GAUGAACGCUGGCGGCGUGCCUAAUACAUGCAAGUCGAGCGAACGGACGAGAAGCUUGCUUCUCUGAUGUUAGCGGCGGACGGGUGAGUAACACGUGGAUAACCUACCUAUAAGACUGGGAUAACUACGGGAAACCGGAGCUAAUACCGGAUAAUAUUUUGAACCGCAUGGUUCAAAAGUGAAAGACGGUCUUGCUGUCACUUAUAGAUGGAUCCGCGCUGCAUUAGCUAGUUGGUAAGGUAACGGCUUACCAAGGCAACGAUGCAUAGCCGACCUGAGAGGGUGAUCGGCCACACUGGAACUGAGACAUGGUCCAGACUCCUACGGGAGGCAGCAGUAGGGAAUCUUCCGCAAUGGGCGAAAGCCUGACGGAGCAACGCCGCGUGAGUGAUGAAGGUCUUCGGAUCGUAAAACUCUGUUAUUAGGGAAGAACAUAUGUGUAAGUAACUGUGCACAUCUUGACGGUACCUAAUCAGAAAGCCACGGCUAACUACGUG
Molecule: ribosomal RNA, 497 nt
Filed under: uncultured bacterium
Lineage: Bacteria
Description: partial 16S ribosomal RNA
Rfam family: Bacterial small subunit ribosomal RNA
Source: RNAcentral